CGGCUCCUUUGUCCCGACUUCCGUGCUCCAUGCGCCGGCCAAUCGAUUCUUCCCACUCGGCAACCACCGCCUUAACCUUCCUCCACGAAAUCGUACAAAAUACGAAAAAAUCGAAUAAUCCGAGAUCGUACGAUUGAAAAUUCAUCGAAACACAAUGGAAAUGAAAAUUGAAGCUUGAAUUCCUCCCUGAGGGCGAGGAGCGGAGUACAGCUUCCGAGGAGUUAAACUGGAGGAAAAACUAGCCUGGCGGACGUGCAACAGGUAGGAAAGCGAAUGCAGAGGCCAGUGCAAGUCCGAGCAGAGCGUGGAAUAUCGACGAAACGGAGGAGCCAGUCGAGGUUUCGCCUCGGCGGCCGAAAAUAUCGACGCGUAUCGACCUUCCGCCGGCUAAAAUCGUCCCUCUGUUUUCUUUCUUCUUUCCUCUACGAUCGCGCCGAAUAUUUUGUCAUUUUCGACCUACCAACGCUCCCGGCCCGAUGAUCCAGGAGUUUUCCAAUCGCGAUAACCUUGGUCCCCGCAACUGUCCAAACAGAAUUUCAAUACCCGAUGAUGACGCGUCGUUUGACGUACAUUCUUUCGAGGAGAGAAAGAGCUUAAAAAAAAAAGAAAAGAAAAACAACGAUGCGGAAUCGGUAAUAUUGUUGCUUGUCAGCCGAUAAAGCAUCGAGAAGGAAGAAUCGAUCGCUUCGUUAAGAUAUAAAGCGGCGAACGAUUUCGAUUUCGAUUUCGCGUGGAAAACGAUAGACCAUCGAUGCGAGAAGGCGAAUCGGUAUGCGUAAUCGAGCAACCAACGCGCUCCAGAAUCGACUCGCGGUUGCUCAACGAGACUAGUAACCGUACCACGGCCCGCGAGCUACCUAAUCGUACACCUUCACCUAUAUAUUCGUCCAUGUUUUGCGCGACAACGUACCCUUUCGAAUCGCGAUCGUUCGCAGAACCGUGUACGCGCGACUAACGCGGUUUUAACCCUUCACCGUGGUGAAAUGCUCCUCUGGUUAAUCAACGACGAAAUCCAACGAACGGGGAACAGGUAGGAGCAGGAAGAGGAGAAAGCAAAGUGGAAGGAAACGGAGGACGAAGAAGGGCGUGUCGAGUCGAUGCUUUCUACCGGUACUGUACCGGUUUUAAAGGACUCUGAAGGAGUAUAAGAGAAACGCGAUAGGAACGAGCGACACGGAUCGCACACGCGUGCAGCACAGGUACGAUUCGCGUACCUGAAAGGUGCGCGACAAGGACAAUGGUCGAGAGAGAGAGACGACCGUGGUACGCGAGCUCAGGAAUAGACGAUAGAGGAAGAAAGAAGGAAAGAGAGAGAGAAGCAAGAGCUGAACGGAUGCGAGGAACACGAGUGAAGGAGAAGAGAGGUGGACUAGCCACUGAAGAGCAAACUGGCCAGACUGCCUGCCGCCGUCGACAACGUAACACCGUUCUUCAGGCCAGAGACAGCACUUGGGUAGCUGCUGGUAGGGGAACGUGCGAGGAGAGCAAUCGGACAAACAGCCAACCACUGGAUGUAAAAUAAUAUUCAACGAGAAAACGAGAGCGUACUGUUGAGUCUAACGAACAUUCGACACUGAUUAUUUUCUAGAAACCCGCUGCUAUCGACUCCGGGGUCGCGCUGAAAGUUUUGAGAAUCUAUCGGUGAACUGGAUGGAAAUAGGGUAAACAUCUAUUUUCAUCGAGUUAUUUAUCCCUCGAACAACGAGGCCGAGUCAUUGUUAACUCAAUUUAGUUGUAAAUUAAUUUUAGAUCAUUUCUGUACUUAAUUUGGGCUUCCACCUUUGUGAAGAGUUAACAGAGGAACAAUGUAGAAUCUAUUUUGGAGCUAAAUAAGAUUCUAGAAUAUCACAGAGGAGGAAGGUUCGUGGUAAUUUUGGAUGCUGAUCGGAGGAGACAACGGUGAAUCGAUUAACGGAACGUUCUCCUUUAGUUCGUUCACCGAAAGAAUUAAUCAGCGAACAGUAAAUUGGCCGCAGACUGCCUGUCGCCUUUGGGAUCGUGGUACAAGUGCCAAUAAAAGUGGCCAGAGGAAGUAGGAGAAGAACGGCUGCUACUAAAACGAUCCGACUGACGUGGACACCUUUUCUGACCUUAUUCGACGAAAUUAGAAAUCUAUUGGGAACGAAUCGAAGACGUUUUCUGGAAAGUAACCUGCUGAUCGGCUCGCUGGAAAACUCGUACGACGCCUGAUUGCAUAAACAUCGAUCAUUCGCGCGUAACAAUCGAAGCCACGCAACACCUUUGAUAAUAUUUCAUUUCCUAUAUUCUAUUCUGUAUCCCUGUAUCAAGUUGAUCGUUCUUAAAUAAACUGAUACGAUAUUGGCCA
This is a non-coding RNA of Osmia lignaria (orchard mason bee), 2326 nucleotides long. The record is from RefSeq and is a predicted model, not a curated record. NCBI's taxonomy places the organism in Eukaryota, Metazoa, Arthropoda, Insecta, Hymenoptera, Megachilidae.